Molecule: ribosomal RNA, 806 nt
Filed under: uncultured bacterium
Lineage: Bacteria
Description: bacterial SSU rRNA
Rfam family: Bacterial small subunit ribosomal RNA
Source: RNAcentral
AGAGUUUGAUCCUGGCUCAGGAUGAACGCUGGCGGCGUGCCUAAUACAUGCAAGUCGAGCGAACAGAUAAGGAGCUUGCUCCUUUGACGUUAGCGGCGGACGGGUGAGUAACACGUGGGUAACCUACCUAUAAGACUGGGAUAACUUCAGGAAACCGGAGCUAAUACCGGAUAACAUUUGGAACCGCAUGGUUCUAAAGUGAAAGAUGGUUUUGCUAUCACUUAUAGAUGGACCCGCGCCGUAUUAGCUAGUUGGUAAGGUAACGGCUUACCAAGGCGACGAUACGUAGCCGACCUGAGAGGGUGAUCGGCCACACUGGAACUGAGACACGGUCCAGACUCCUACGGGAGGCAGCAGUAGGGAAUCUUCCGCAAUGGGCGAAAGCCUGACGGAGCAACGCCGCGUGAGUGAUGAAGGGUUUCGGCUCGUAAAACUCUGUUAUUAGGGAAGAACAAACGUGUAAGUAACUGUGCACGUCUUGACGGUACCUAAUCAGAAAGCCACGGCUAACUACGUGCCAGCAGCCGCGGUAAUACGUAGGUGGCAAGCGUUAUCCGGAAUUAUUGGGCGUAAAGCGCGCGUAGGCGGUUUCUUAAGUCUGAUGUGAAAGCCCACGGCUCAACCGUGGAGGGUCAUUGGAAACUGGGAAACUUGAGUGCAGAAGAGGAAAGUGGAAUCCCAUGUGUAGCGGUGAAAUGCGCAGAGAUAUGGAGGAACACCAGUGGCGAAGGCGACUUUCUGGUCUGUAACUGACGCUGAUGUGCGAAAGCGUGGGGAUCAAACAGGAUUAGAUACCCCGGUAGUCC